RNAcentral lists this microRNA (22 nucleotides) under Homo sapiens (human). RNAcentral describes it as "hsa-miR-2681-3p". The record is from miRBase by way of RNAcentral. Lineage: Eukaryota; Metazoa; Chordata; Mammalia; Primates; Hominidae.
UAUCAUGGAGUUGGUAAAGCAC